This 89-nucleotide non-coding RNA is filed under the name Apilactobacillus bombintestini. RNAcentral describes it as "THF riboswitch". It matches the Rfam family "THF (Tetrahydrofolate) riboswitch aptamer". From Rfam's summary of the family: THF riboswitch presents a pseudoknot that joins P1-P2 and the loop of P3 and two THF binding. Lineage: Bacteria; Bacillati; Bacillota; Bacilli; Lactobacillales; Lactobacillaceae. The record is from RNAcentral.
GGAGUAGGACUUUAUGCGUAAAGUGCAAACGGAACGGAAUGUGAACGUUUGACGAAAACUACGGUUGCGAUAUAUUGUCCGCAUUCGCC